This 90-nucleotide transfer RNA is filed under the name Prosciurillus leucomus (whitish dwarf squirrel). RNAcentral describes it as "tRNA-Gln". The stretch from base 20 to 90 matches the Rfam family "tRNA". Rfam says of the family: Transfer RNA (tRNA) molecules are approximately 80 nucleotides in length. Their secondary structure includes four short double-helical elements and three loops (D, anti-codon, and T loops). The record is from RNAcentral. Lineage: Eukaryota; Metazoa; Chordata; Mammalia; Rodentia; Sciuridae.
AUUUAGCUGACCUUACUAAUAGAAUGUGGUGUAUAAGGUAGCACGAAGAAUUUUGAGUUCUUAGGAUUAGGUUCAAGUCCUAUGAUUCUA